GCCUACGGGAGGCAGCAGUAAGGAAUAUUGGUCAAUGGACGCAAGUCUGAACCAGCCAUGCCGCGUGGAGGAUGAAGGUCCUCUGGAUUGUAAACUUCUUUUAUCUGGGAAGAAAUCCAUUUUUUCUAAAAUGGUUGACGGUACCAGAUGAAUAAGCACCGGCUAACUCCGUGCCAGCAGCCGCGGUAAU
This 190-nucleotide ribosomal RNA is filed under the name uncultured Bacteroidota bacterium. RNAcentral's name for it is "uncultured Bacteroidetes bacterium partial 16S ribosomal RNA". It matches the Rfam family "Bacterial small subunit ribosomal RNA", at positions 337 to 524 of the family's 1533-position model. The record is from RNAcentral. Lineage: Bacteria; Pseudomonadati; Bacteroidota.